AGUCACUGACAUUAGGAUACCCGGGUAGUCCAGGGUGUAAACGCUGCAGACUUGGUGUUGGAGGCCCUUUGGGGGCAUUCAGUGCCGGAGAGAAGUUGUUAAGUCUGCUACUUGGGAGUACGUCCGCAAGGAUGAAACUUAAAGGAAUUGGCGGGGGAGCACCGCAACGGGAGGAGCGUGCGGUUUAAUUGGAUUCAACACCGUAAAACUCACCAGGGAAGACUGUUACAUGAAGGCCGAGAUGAAGACUCUGCUAGAUUUUCAG
Molecule: ribosomal RNA, 265 nt
Filed under: uncultured archaeon
Lineage: Archaea
Description: partial 16S ribosomal RNA
Rfam family: Archaeal small subunit ribosomal RNA
Source: RNAcentral